RNAcentral lists this ribosomal RNA (277 nucleotides) under uncultured prokaryote. Its description in RNAcentral is "partial 16S ribosomal RNA". It matches the Rfam family "Bacterial small subunit ribosomal RNA", at positions 524 to 800 of the family's 1533-position model. The record is from RNAcentral.
UACGGAGGAUCCGAGCGUUAUCCGGAUUUAUUGGGUUUAAAGGGUGCGCAGGCGGAAUAUUAAGUCGGCGGUGAAAGUUUGCAGCUUAACUGUAAAAUUGCCGUUGAUACUGGUAUUCUUGAGUGUAUAUGAAGUAGGCGGAAUUUGUAGUGUAGCGGUGAAAUGCAUAGAUAUUACAAGGAACUCCGAUUGCGAAGGCAGCUUACUAAAAUACAACUGACGCUUAGGCACGAAGGCGUGGGGAUCAAACAGGAUUAGAUACCCGUGUAGUCCCUGA